This 82-nucleotide transfer RNA is filed under the name Planctomycetales bacterium. Its description in RNAcentral is "tRNA-Leu". It matches the Rfam family "tRNA". From Rfam's summary of the family: Transfer RNA (tRNA) molecules are approximately 80 nucleotides in length. Their secondary structure includes four short double-helical elements and three loops (D, anti-codon, and T loops). Further hydrogen bonds mediate the characteristic L-shaped molecular structure. tRNAs have two regions of fundamental functional importance: the anti-codon, which is responsible for specific mRNA codon recognition, and the 3' end, to which the tRNAs corresponding amino acid is attached (by aminoacyl-tRNA synthetases). tRNAs cope with the degeneracy of the genetic code in two manners: having more than one tRNA (with a specific anti-codon) for a particular amino acid; and 'wobble' base-pairing, i.e. permitting non-standard base-pairing at the 3rd anti-codon position. The record is from RNAcentral. Lineage: Bacteria; Pseudomonadati; Planctomycetota; Planctomycetia; Planctomycetales.
GGCCCGGUGGUGAAAUUGGCAUACACGCUAGCCUUAGAAGCUAGUGCCGCAAGGCUUGCGGGUUCGAGUCCCGCCCGGGCCA